This 510-nucleotide ribosomal RNA is filed under the name uncultured bacterium. RNAcentral describes it as "partial 16S ribosomal RNA". It matches the Rfam family "Bacterial small subunit ribosomal RNA", at positions 28 to 507 of the family's 1533-position model. The record is from RNAcentral.
GACGAACGCUGGCGGCGUGCUUAACACAUGCAAGUCGAACGAAGAGCGAUGGAAGCUUGCUUCCAUCAAUCUUAGUGGCGAACGGGUGAGUAACGCGUAAUCAACCUGCCCUUCAGAGGGGGACAACAGUUGGAAACGACUGCUAAUACCGCAUACUAUCUAACCUCGGCAUCGAGGAUAGAUGAAAGGUGGCCUCUACAUGUAAGCUAUCACUGAAGGAGGGGAUUGCGUCUGAUUAGCUAGUUGGAGGGGUAACGGCCCACCAAGGCGAGGAUCAGUAGCCGGACGGAGAUGAUGGACGGCCACAUUGGGACUGAGACACGGCCCAGUCUCCUACGGGAGGCAGCAAGGGGGAAACUUCCGCAAUGGACGAAAGUCUGACGGAGCAACGCCGCGUGAGUGAUGACGGCCUUCGGGUUGUAAAGCUCUGUUAAUCGGGACGAAAGGCCUUCUUGCGAAUAGUGAGAAGGAUUGACGGUACCGGAAUAGAAAGCCACGGCUAACUACGUG